GUAGGUGGCAAGCGUUGUCCGGGAAUUAUUGGGCGUAAAGCGCGCGCAGGUGGUUCUUUAAGUCUGAUGUGAAAGCCCACGGGCUCAACCGUGGAGGGUCAUUGGAAACUGGAGAACUUGAGUACAGAAGAGGGAAGCGGAAUUCCACGUGUAGCGGUGAAAUGCGUAGAGAUGUGGAGGAACACCAGUGGCGAAGGCGGCUUUCUGGUCUGUAACUGACGCUGAGGCGCGAAAGCGUGGGGAGCAAACAGGAUUAGAUACCCUGGUAGUCCACGCCGUAAACGAUGAGUGCUAAGUGUUAGGGGGUUUCCGCCCCUUAGUGCUGCAGCUAACGCAUUAAGCACUCCGCCUGGGGAGUACGGCCGCAAAGGCUG
Molecule: ribosomal RNA, 374 nt
Filed under: uncultured organism
Description: partial 16S ribosomal RNA
Rfam family: Bacterial small subunit ribosomal RNA
Source: RNAcentral